Molecule: ribosomal RNA, 273 nt
Filed under: Triticum aestivum (bread wheat)
Lineage: Eukaryota; Viridiplantae; Streptophyta; Magnoliopsida; Poales; Poaceae
Description: partial small subunit ribosomal RNA
Source: RNAcentral
AUGGUGGAGAAACAGAUCCAGCGGGAGCUGGCGGACAUGCUGACCCACGACCCCAUCAUGCAGCGCGCCGUCCUCCCCGAGGCCGCCCUCAGCGCCGACCGCUACCUCUCCUCCCCCACCACCAUCGCCGACAUCGAUCUCUCCAACGACCUCCAGGUGUGCAAGGUGUAUGUGUUCGUGUUUGGGGAAGAAGGUGGCCAUGUCCGGGCUCAAGGACAAGACCAAGUACCUCCAGGUCACGCCCGAGCUCUCCAACGACCUCCAGUUAAUUAG